This 6340-nucleotide long non-coding RNA is filed under the name Nicotiana benthamiana. Its description in RNAcentral is "long non-coding RNA (NBEN_LNC011545)". Lineage: Eukaryota; Viridiplantae; Streptophyta; Magnoliopsida; Solanales; Solanaceae. The record is from RNAcentral.
CCCUUCUUCCUCUCCAACUCCACCGGUGACUACACAUAUACACACAGUCAUUAACAGAAGGACGGACGAAGGAGGCAAGCACAACAAAAAACAUAUCUACACAUAUACACACAAUCAUUAACAGAAGGACGGGCGAAGGAGGCAAGCACAACAAAAAACAUAUAAGAACUUGAAGUUUGAUUUCAGAUUCAAAUCCUAUUGAUUUUCGUUUCAUAGUUUAUCUCGUUCUUCUGCUUUGGAUUUUUAAAAACCAUGGAAUCCGGUGAGUUUCGAGGUUGUCAUUCAAGAUCCGCUCAAGUCUUCACCUCUGUUCCUGUUUAAAUUUUGGUCAUCGCUGGCGUCGCUCGUUCUUCUGCUUUGGAUUUUUUUAAAAACCAUGGAAUCCGGUGAGUUUCGAGGUUGUCAUUCCAGAUCCACUCAAGUCUUCACCUCUGUUCCUGUUUAAAUUUUGGUCGUCGCUGGCGUCGAGUUUCCAAUUCUUGGUUCGUUGUUCUCGUUGCUGUCCCUAUUUGCUUCCCAAAAUCUUGGAUCGAGUAUCAUCGCCUUUGGAUCAAUUUUAAUGCAAAAAAGAUAACAAAAGUUGAAUUGGGUUCUACACUAAGGUCUCAUCUUUACCUUGCUUUUUUAUUUUUGGUAAUAUUACGUGUUUAUCUUUUCUUUUAGCAUGAGUAUUUGAUAUUUUGAUAUGAUAAAUGUGUCUGAUUAUUUGUCUUUUGAUUAUUGGUAGUAAUGUUAUUGGUUAAGAUCGAUUAGGAAAUUGUUUGGCUAAGCAUUAGUUAAUUUGGAUUUAAGGAAAUGAUUUAGAAAGAACAGUAACCAAUGAAUCUUAACCAAACAAGGACGCUUUAACUGUUGGGCCAUAGGAUAUUUGAUCUUGAAUUAAGAGUCCGGGCUGUUAGAUAUUGAUUAAAAGUAAAACCCAGUACAACAUGUUUAACUUAGUUCUACUUUGUUUUAUCACUUUAAUUCCUAGGAGUAUGUUUUAGGCGGACCACACGUGAGUAGGCAAGCUUUAGGAUAUUUGUUAGUUUUGAUGCGAAAGAUCGUUUCCUUAGUUAAAUUUAACUAGAGAAAGCCUCAAAGAAUUUGUAUAUAUUUUAUCCGGGAUAUGCCCAGAAGUACAUGUAAAUGAAGGCUAGAGAUUGGGUGACGUGAGGAAGCGUAGAAUAGAACAUUAAUAUAUAUAUAUAUAUUAUUUUUUUUGUGUUUUUUCCUCAACGAAAUAUUUUAAAAGAUGACUUGAUUGAGUACGCAACUAUACCAGUUACGGAACUUGGAGAAUGUCUAACACCUUCUCCCCGAGUCAAAUAAACCUCUUUACUCGAUUCUCUGGUACAAACUUGGUAUUUGGAGUCUCAAGUGUUUUGAAAGGAAUUUUUUAAGAAAAAAUGGUGACCCUGGCAUACCGAAAUCAAUGUCAGGUGGCGACUCUGAGUAAUUUCCUUUUGAACACAAUUUUGUCACUUUCUAAUUGGAAAACCCUUUUCAAGCUUUACUAUUUUUUUAUUUAUUUAAGAGGGUUUAGUGAAGUUGGCAAAAAGGGCGUGACAUCUCUGGCGACUCUGCUGGGGAAUUACACGUUCGAGCUAGUACUUGAUUUUGUUGGCUUUUAGGAUAUUAGGUUGAGGUUGUUAUAUAUUUCAUUUGCUUUAUUUGAUUUUUGUUUUGUUUAUGUCUUUUUAUUAUUUGCUAGCUGCUUAUUUGUUUACAGUUUUUCUUUUAUCUGUUACUACUUUAUAAAUUAUCAUCAUUGUGCAUAACCAUGUGUCUUCUUUCUACAACAAGUGUUCCGGAGUACGUUUGGCUUCAUAAACUGUCAUCAUUUGCAUAACCAUGAAUCUUUUUUCUGCAACAAGUCUUUCGGAGUACAUUUGAGCGUACACGGUCUUUUUGUGAGUCACUCGGGUUUUUACGGGGUGGUGUGGGAGCGUGGAGUGGGCGGACAGUUAGAGCAGCCGUCAUCGAUCACAUACCGCUCGAAUUGCCUUGUCUAGUAAAUCUAACUUAGGUUAGCUUUUAGGUCAUGCUUAUCUGCAUCAUGUCAUUUAGACCUAGCAGGGCUCGGUCCCAGGUAUCGUGUUUCGUCACUGCUUUGUGGAAAAUCGUUAGGUAUGAAUAUGUUAGAUACAUGUGACUCGAUUGGUGAAAUAGUAUCUCUCCCCCAAAAAGCAUAUUUUUUUACCGAUGCGCAAAGAAAAUAUUUUGUUGAGAAUGAACAAGAUAUUGAGGAAUUGUCCAUACGUAAACUCAGAAUUAUUGAUACGGGCCUUUUCCACAGAAAGGAAAAUCUUGUGUUCCAAUAGAAGCAGAAGUGAUGUGGGUUAUUCAAGAAUCGAAGUCGAUUUCACAAAAAGGAGAAUCUUGUGUUCCAAUAGAAGCAGAAGUGAUGUGGGUUAUUCAAGAAUCGGAGUCGAUUUGCUUUAUAAAAGAAUAUAUCAAUGAACUUCUAUGAAAUGGUUUCACGGGAUUCAGCCAAUUGUCUUGAUCGUGGAAUAUCAUUGAGAAAUAGGAAUCCGGGUUAUCAAAGGAUUUCCUAUGAUUAUUUCUAGUAUGGAAUGAGUCAAUCAUCCACUUUGGUAUCUUAUUGAACAAAAGUGGUGAUAUUGUUCCUCCAUUGAUCAAGAAUUUCGAUUUUUGGGAAGUAUCAUGAUCGUCCAAUAAGAAGGGUUUCAAUUUUUUCAAAUGAACAAUUUGAAGACCUAUUGAUUCUAACAACUGCUUGUAGAGUUGAUCAUUCAGACCUUUCAAUUCAGAGAUGUAGAUCUCGGACCUAUGAAUGGGGAUAUUUCCGAAAGUCACACAGAAAAAAGGAAAUGAGUUAGACAAAAAGAAAAGCAACUUGGACAAAAAGAAACAAAGUGGCUUAGAUAAUUUUUUUUGUCGAUAACCUCAGACCAGUCAAUCGAAUAUUGAUUAAUACGUAAUUGAUCGAACACUACUUGAAAACGGCUCUUCUGCUCCGAAACGGACUGUUCCAAAUGUUCCUGGAAAUUCUUGCUCUCAUUAGACCAUUUGUAUCUAUAUGCAUCAGGAUCCCGAUUCAUGGAUCUCUCGGUUCGAGAAAUAAAAAUAAGAGGCUCGAACAAUUUUUUCUGUUCUGGAUCCCGGUUCAUGGAUCUCUCAGUUCGAGAAAUUAAAAUAAGAGGCUCGAACCAUUUCUUCUGACUCUAUUUCAAGUUCGAUAAAUAUUGAUUGAUCAUAUAUUUCAUUAUAGUUCUAUGAUGCAGAGUAUCCUUUCCUAUUUGAUCCCUUUGAAUUCCAUAUUCGAAGUUGCGAUCAGAUCUAUUCAUUAAAAAGAAUCGAUUCAAUACAUUUCUUAUGUACCCAUAGGUACUAUAUUGGAUUUGAAUCAGAUUUCGGAUCAAUCUAUAUUGAGUGANNNNNNNNNNNNNNNNNNNNNNNNNNNNNNNNNNNNNNNNNNNNNNNNNNNNNNNNNNNNNNNNNNNNNNNNNNNNNNNNNNNNNNNNNNNNNNNNNNNNNNNNNNNNNNNNNNNNNNNNNNNNNNNNNNNNNNNNNNNNNNNNNNNNNNNNNNNNNNNNNNNNNNNNNNNNNNNNACCCCUCUUUUGGAAUCAGAAAUAGAGUUAGGAACUAGAAAAAAGGAGGUAGAACCAAUAAGAUUUCUUUUUCCAUUCAUCCAUGGCCUUAUUCAACAAUUGUUUUUGAUCCAAUCUGCAAGAAUCAAUAGAAAAGGCAAAUCCCUUAUGAUACACCAAAUCCGGCUCGGUUAUCGAUAGAGUGAAUAGAUUUGCCAUUUCUUGAAAUUUCUCUUCUAAUUCAAAAUCGUAGUGUAAUGUGUAUCCUCCCUUGUUCCGGUCAUGGAAUUGAUGAAAUAAAUAAAGAAAAGAUUUUUAUUCAAGAAUGAAAUCUUAUUGGAACUGUCCAUAUCUGGUUCAUCCUUCGGAACCAUAUCACAUCCCGGAUCUGAUGAAAUAGGAUGAAUUGAGACAAUAUUUUUUAAAUACGUAAUUAUCUUGAAUAUAUUAACGAUUUCUUUAUUUUCGGAUCGUCUGGAAGGGACAAAGGAAUGAUCUUGUUGUUUCUUCAACAAUUUCUGAUCCCUUUCAAUCGAAUCGAUCGUUUGGAAGGGACAAAAGAAAGAUCUAGUUGUUUCUUCAACAAUUUCUGAUCUUUAGUGGACCUCUCAUAUGAUUCGAACCCAGAUGAAGUUCUGACCAUCUAUCAGAGAAAAAAAAAUGAACGAGUCUUGUAGGAUUCCCAAGAAAUUAUUCGAUUUCUUCCGGAAUAGAUGAUUAAUCAUCUUCUUCUCACAUUCCAUGAAUAGCCGGAAUGUGAGGAAUAUCCAGAAAGGCAUUUUGAGAAUCGGCCUGGUUCUAUCUCUUUUCGUUCCGUUUGAAGAAAGGAAGGAUCCCAAAGAAUUGAUCUUUCUUUUCGUUGUUGAAUCUCUCUUUGAUUAAUCAAUGUGUGAUAUUCCGAAUCCUCAUUACUAAUGGAAUCCAAAUGAUCUCUGGAUCUUUCUUUUCGUUGUUGAAUCUCUCUUUGAUUAAUCAAUGUGUGAUAUUCCAAAUCCUCAUUACUAACGGAAUCCAAAUGGUCACUGGAUUGAUCAGAAGAUCCUUUCAGUUGGCUAGAAUCCGUUACUUGAACUAAACUAGAUCUUGUGAAAUCAUAUUGAAUAUUUGUCGAUACAUUCUGUAUCUUGCUAAAAUACCGAUCUUUGUAUACCAACCAUACAUUGUCUAACCAAAUCAAAUUCUCUCUCGAUACGUUCCUUAAAAAAUUCGAUUCGGGCGUCCCUUUGUUGUGGAAGCCUAUUCAAAUUUUGUGAAAAAUGAGCUCGUGGCCUAAAAAGACAUUCAACCAUCCCUAUGUGAUACAUGUUGCAUCUUUGAGGGUAAAAGGUCAUUUGGCGGACCGAUGUUUGGGAAAGAAGGUUGAAAAAUGAAGCAAGUAGGACCAAGUUAUAUUUUUCUUUCACAAUUUUUUCAAGAAAAGACAAAAAAAUUUAAAAUAGAAAAUCCAAAAAGAUUUUACACUUUCCAAUUAUUUUCCAAAACUCAAAAAAAAUAAAAAAGAAAAUCCAAAAAGAUUUUACACUUUUCCAUCAUUUUCCAAAAAAAUCAAAAAAAAAAGGAGAAAAAGAAAAUCCAAAAAGACUUUACAUUUUCCAUCAUUUUUCAAAAAGACAAAUGUAUAAUUUUCCAAAUUAGUGUAUUUUUAAAAUAGAAAAUCCAAAAAGAUUUUACACUUUCCCAUUAUUUUUCAAAAAAAAAAAAAAUGAAAAGAAAAUCCAAUAAUAUUUUACACUUUUUCAUCAUUUUUCAAAAGUUCAAUAAAAAAAGAGAAAAAAAAGAAUUAAAAAAGACUCUACAUUUUCCAUCAUUUUUCAAAAAGACAAAUAUAUUUUUUCCAAAUUAGUAUGUUUUAGCUUUCUCUCAUAUCCAAUCUUUCCAAACUACGCAUACUUGAUUCUCGUCUCGGGGCGUGAUACGUAAGCACCCCACAUAGGGUCCAAUCUUCCUUGUAAGUGUUAGGUUUUAGGCUUUAGGGGGUCUUAGCCAAAUCUUGCAUGUCUUGUCACUUUUGGCCACAUCGGUCAUUCUUGCAAAAUGGGGUCAUUUUCGCGAAAGUGGUUCAAUAUACCAUAUCUUAGGAUCCUGAAUACACAACUAGGUGUCACAUUAAUUUAAGGUCCAUCCUUAUUGAGUUUGCAACUUUAGCCACUUCUGGCCAUAUCGGUUGUUUUGCGAAAUGUGUCAUUUCUGCAAAUUAAUUUUUUGGCCCAUGAUUGUUGGGAGUUAAAUCCAUAUAAGCAUUAGUAAGGUAUUUUCAUAUUUGAAUAGUCACCCUUGUUGAUUUUGCACCUAUAGCCACUCUUGGUUAUGUAGGUUAAUUUUCAAAAAGCCCAAUCAUGUCUUGUAUGUGUCCAACAUGAGGUGUUGUGGUGUCGCAUAGUAUCUUGAGUCACUAAUCUAUUUGGUCUUAUUUUUCUCAUCCAGGUAUGAAUUCAUUUACCACAGCUCGAGCGUAACGGAUAUCCCAGGACCACUGCAUUCAGGAGCUACUUGAGGAGUCUUUUCAUAUUUUGAGCAUGUUUUUGAGUCUUUUAGGUGGUUUAAGAGUUUGUAUGUCUUUUGCUAUCAUAAUUCCUAUGAUGUAUUUGAAAGCAAAAAAAAAAAAGAUAAAUGAAAAGUUCAAAAAGAUUUUUGUUUCUUAAUUUUUUUGGUCCAUUACUAUUUCAGAACUACGCUUGAUCUUAUUCAUGAGGGACAUGAUACGUAGGCAACCUACAUAGGAUUCGAUCGAAUUAUUUUUUAAAAAUAAAAAAAGGAAAAAAAGAAGAAAAAAAGUGUGGGACGUGAGAAACAGGAGGAAAAAAGA